CCCGCUGAACUUAAGCAUAUCAAUAAGCGGAGGAAAAGAAACUAACAAGGAUUCCCCUAGUAACUGCGAGUGAAGCGGGAAAAGCUCAAAUUUAAAAUCUGGUGGUCUUUGGCCCUCCGAGUUGUAAUUAAGAGAGGCGUCUUCCGCGAUGGACCAUGCAUAAGUCUCCUGGAAUGGAGCGUCAUAGAGGAUGAGAAUCCCGUCUUUGGCAUGGACACCCAGGGCUUCUGUGAUGAGCUCAGCAAAGAGUCGAGUUGUUCGGGAAUGCAGCUCAAAAUGGGUGGUGAACUCCAUCUAAAGCUACAUAUUGGCGAGAGACCGAUAGCGAACAAGUACCGUGAGGGAAAGAUGAAAAGCACUUUGGAAAGAGAGUGAACCAGUACGUGAAAUUGUUGAAAGGGAAACGCGCGAAGUCAGUCACGUCUGACAAGACUCACAAUCGCCUUGACUGAGAGUGGCCAGCGACUGACGGGUCAGCAUCACUGUCGAUCCUCCGAUAAAGGCAAGGGAAAUAUAGCACCUUUACCGGAGUUUGAUACUCCUAUCUCGGACACGCGCGUGAUGAUCGAGGAAGUCAGUAAGCUCGUCAUGUGUGUCGUGGCCUUCCAGCUCUCGGAACGCGCUUAUGACCCCGGCAUAAUGGCUGUAAACGACCCGUCUUGAAACACGG
This 670-nucleotide ribosomal RNA is filed under the name uncultured fungus. Its description in RNAcentral is "eukaryotic LSU rRNA". It matches the Rfam family "Eukaryotic large subunit ribosomal RNA", at positions 24 to 664 of the family's 3401-position model. The record is from RNAcentral. Lineage: Eukaryota; Fungi.